Molecule: non-coding RNA, 848 nt
Organism: Jatropha curcas
Lineage: Eukaryota; Viridiplantae; Streptophyta; Magnoliopsida; Malpighiales; Euphorbiaceae
Source: RefSeq, a predicted model, not a curated record
GAAAGACAAAGCAAUUCUUGAAAAACUAAAGGAUGAAAAUAAAAUUUGAACUUUUGAAGCGUCAGAAUCCGUGAGUACACAUUUCGGGCGGAAAGUUUUUCUGCUCUCAGUCAAUAUUCUAUGGUCUCCUCUAGUCCUCUGCCUCUUUCUAUCACUAGACGAGACCCACUUCCUCACUUUCUCACCUUUUAGUUGCAGAAAAAGGAUGCAAAAUUUGUCAGGUUCAAUUGCAGUAAAAUCAGAUGGUGACAUGACAUCAAGGCGACCAAAGUUAAAUGCCGUACAGACCAUAGCUUGAAACAGGAAAAAGAAUUUACUACUUGUGAAGUUAAGCUAUCCUAUGUUGCCUAUUCUUGCAUAGAAAAGCUACCUAGAACUGUGCAGCAGGGCUGCUAAGAUACAUGUGCUUUUAAUCAAAGCCAAUUCAGUUGUUCCCAGUCCCAUAGUGGUUGGGGUAAACCAUCAACCAUAUCCACGUUGGCACUUCCUGCUGUCCCUGGGAGGUCAGCAUGAUCUCCUCCUGAGCAUGAAGUGUCAGGUGAGCUUGAGUUGUCCACCAUUCUAUGGUCUUGAGCAGAUGUUGUUGCCGCAUAACCAAGAAGUUGUGUCUCUCUUGCCACGGCUUCUAGUGGACGUCUAUCAAAUGCUCGAAAACUCCCUGAUGUUAUGUAGACUCGGCACAAACUAAAUUCAUGCCUCAGCUACGUAUAAGAAAUAUUGAUUAGAAAUGGGAGAUGGAAAAUAAUAGUAACUGCAUAAGAAACUGCAAGACUGGCUCUUUCUUUCCUUUUUUUUUUUAAAUUGAAAAAUACACCAAAAGAUUUAUUAUAAACUAUAUAUACACCUUA